CCUACGGGCGGCUGCAGUGAGGAAUAUUGGUCAAUGGCCGGAAGGCUGAACCAGCCAUGCCGCGUGAAGGUCAGUGCCCUAUGGGCGUUAAACUUCUUUUGUGCGGGAGCAAUAAUGGUCACGUGUGGCCAUACGGGAGUACCGUACGAAUCAGCAUCGGCUAACUCCGUGCCAGCAGCCGCGGUCAUACGGGGGAUGCAAGCGUUAUCCGGAUUUAUUGGGUUUAAAGGGUGCGUAGGCUGGGAGUUAAGUCAGCGGUGAAAUGCCCCCGCUCAACGGGGUGAAGUGCCAUUGAUACUGUCGGGCUGGAAUGCGGAUGCCGUGGGAGGAAUGUGUGGUGUAGCGGUGAAAUGCAUAGAUAUCACACAGAACACCGAUUGCGAAGGCAUCUCACGAAGCCGCGAUUGACGCUGAUGCACGAAAGCGUGGGUAUCAAACAGGAUUAGAUACCCCUGUAGUC
RNAcentral lists this ribosomal RNA (460 nucleotides) under uncultured bacterium. RNAcentral describes it as "partial 16S ribosomal RNA". It matches the Rfam family "Bacterial small subunit ribosomal RNA", at positions 338 to 795 of the family's 1533-position model. The record is from RNAcentral.